GGAUGACAUUUAAUGUGGACUCAUGAUGCUAAGACAAGAAUGGGGUGGUUGAUGUCCUGUAUCUCAUUUACUCCUCUCACAGACAGGCCCUGGACAGAAGUAGCACUCCCAUUUUACAAGUGGACCCAGGAAAAGAGGACAUACCUGAGAGAAAGAGAGAGAGAGAGAGCAAGUGUGAGGUGGAGGCACAGAGGGAGAGGGAGAGAGAAACUCAAGGACACUCUGCACUUCGUGCAGAACCAAAGGCGAGGCUCAAUCUUCUGACCUUGAGAUCACGACCUGACCGGGAACCAAGACUCAGAUGCUUAACCAACAGCAUCACUCAGGCACUCCCUAAACAGUUUGAAUUUUGAAAGGGAGAGAUAUGCCAGGGGAAGUGAGUCUUCAGCAGUGAAGGGACCGUUCAU
This 407-nucleotide long non-coding RNA is filed under the name Mustela putorius furo (domestic ferret). RNAcentral's name for it is "lncRNA (ENSMPUG00000024054.1)". Lineage: Eukaryota; Metazoa; Chordata; Mammalia; Carnivora; Mustelidae. The record is from RNAcentral.